UAGUCUCAAAUCAGGUAGGACUACCCG
This 27-nucleotide ribosomal RNA is filed under the name Rhodotorula babjevae. RNAcentral's name for it is "26S ribosomal RNA". Lineage: Eukaryota; Fungi; Basidiomycota; Microbotryomycetes; Sporidiobolales; Sporidiobolaceae. The record is from RNAcentral.